ACAUGCAAGUCGAGCGGUAGCACAGAGAGCUUGCUCUCGGGUGACGAGCGGCGGACGGGUGAGUAAUGUCUGGGAAACUGCCUGAUGGAGGGGGAUAACUACUGGAAACGGUAGCUAAUACCGCAUAACGUCGCAAGACCAAAGUGGGGGACCUUCGGGCCUCAUGCCAUCAGAUGUGCCCAGAUGGGAUUAGCUAGUAGGUGGGGUAAUGGCUCACCUAGGCGACGAUCCCUAGCUGGUCUGAGAGGAUGACCAGCCACACUGGAACUGAGACACGGUCCAGACUCCUACGGGAGGCAGCAGUGGGGAAUAUUGCACAAUGGGCGCA
Molecule: ribosomal RNA, 328 nt
Filed under: biocide-degrading bacterium 106
Lineage: Bacteria
Description: bacterial SSU rRNA
Rfam family: Bacterial small subunit ribosomal RNA
Source: RNAcentral